GAGGAGAAAGUUCCUGUGCUUAUUCCUAAAAAGGAGAAGCCUCCGCCAGCAAAAGUUCCUGAAGUGCCCAAGAAACCUGUGCCAGAGGAGAAAGUACCAGUACCAGUUCCUAAAAAGGUGGAAGCUCCACCUGCCAAAGUGCCAGAGGUACCCAAGAAGCCUGUGCCUGAGAAGAAGGUGCCAGUUCCUGCUCCUAAGAAAGUGGAGGCUCCACCUGCAAAAGUGCCAGAGGUGCCCAAGAAGCUCAUCCCAGAAGAAAAGAAACCAACACCUGUUCCGAAAAAAGUGGAAGCACCACCACCCAAAGUGCCAAAGAAACGUGAACCAGUUCCAGUUCCUGUAGCUCUACCUCAGGAAGAGGAAGUUCUAUUUGAAGAAGAAAUUGUUCCUGAAGAGGAAGUUCUACCUGAGGAAGAGGAAGUUCUACCUGAGGAAGAGGAAGUUCUACCUGAAGAAGAGGAAGUUCUACCUGAAGAAGAGGAAAUUCCACCUGAGGAAGAGGAAGUUCCUCCCGAAGAAGAAUAUGUACCUGAGGAAGAAGAAUUUGUUGUUCCUGAAAAGAAGGUGCCUCUGGUGGUUCCCAAAAAGCCAGAAGCCCCACCUGCUAAAGUGCCUGAAGUUCCAAAAGAAGUUGUUCCAGAAAAGAAAGUAGCUGUUCCCAAAAAGCCAGAAGUCCCACCAGCAAAAGUGCCUGAGGUGCCCAAGAAACUUGUUCCAGUAAAGAAAGAACCUGUGCC
This 737-nucleotide long non-coding RNA is filed under the name Homo sapiens (human). Its description in RNAcentral is "HSALNT0044045". The record is from RNAcentral. Lineage: Eukaryota; Metazoa; Chordata; Mammalia; Primates; Hominidae.